GACGAACGCUGGCGGCGUGCUUAACACAUGCAAGUCGAACGGAAAGGCCCCUUUGGGGGUACUCGAGUGGCGAACGGGUGAGUAACACGUGAGUAACCUGCCCUUGACUUCGGGAUAACUUCAGGAAACUGGGGCUAAUACCGGAUAGGAAUCCUUGCUGCAUGGUGGGGGUUGGAAAGCUUUGGCGGUUUUGGAUGGACUCGCGGCUUAUCAGCUUGUUGGUGGGGUAGUGGCUUACCAAGGCUUUGACGGGUAGCCGGCCUGAGAGGGCGACCGGCCACAUUGGGACUGAGAUACGGCCCAGACUCCUACGGGAGGCAGCAGUGGGGAAUAUUGCACAAUGGGCGGAAGCCUGAUGCAGCAACGCCGCGUGCGGGAUGACGGCCUUCGGGUUGUAAACCGCUUUCAGCAGGGGCGAAGCUUGUGGUGACGGUACCUGCAGAAGAAGCACCGGCUAACUACGUG
This 465-nucleotide ribosomal RNA is filed under the name uncultured bacterium. RNAcentral describes it as "partial 16S ribosomal RNA". It matches the Rfam family "Bacterial small subunit ribosomal RNA", at positions 28 to 507 of the family's 1533-position model. The record is from RNAcentral.